GUGAAAUUGUUGAAAGGGAAACGCUUGAUGUCAGUCGCGUUUGUUGGAACUCAGCCGGGCUUUUGUUCGGUGCACUUUCUAGCAAACGGGUCAACAUCAGUUUUGACCGGUGGAUAAAUUCAAUUGGAACGUGGCUUGUUUCGGCAAGUGUUAUAGCCUUUUGUUGGAUACACUGGUUGGGACUGAGGACUGCAGCACGCCCUUUACGGGGCAGGGGUUUCGACCUACUAUUUACGUGCUUAGGAUGUUGGCAUAAUGGCAUUAAGCGACCCGUCUUGAAACACGGACCAAGGAGUCUAACAUAUCUGCGAGUAUUUGGGUGACAAACCCGAGUGCGCAAUGAAAGUGAAUGCAGGUGGGAAGCGCAAGCUGCACCAUCGACCGGUCUGGAUUUUUUAAUGAUGGAUCUGAGUAAGAGCAUAUAUGUUGGGACCCGAAAGAUGGUGAACUAUGCCUGAAUAAGGCGAAGCCAGAGGAGACUCUGGUGGAGGCUCGUAGCGAUUCUGACGUGCAAAUCGAUCGUCAAAUUU
This 530-nucleotide ribosomal RNA is filed under the name uncultured Basidiomycota. RNAcentral's name for it is "LSU rRNA". It matches the Rfam family "Eukaryotic large subunit ribosomal RNA", at positions 399 to 912 of the family's 3401-position model. The record is from RNAcentral. Lineage: Eukaryota; Fungi; Basidiomycota.